This 468-nucleotide ribosomal RNA is filed under the name uncultured bacterium. RNAcentral's name for it is "partial 16S ribosomal RNA". It matches the Rfam family "Bacterial small subunit ribosomal RNA", at positions 28 to 507 of the family's 1533-position model. The record is from RNAcentral.
GACGAACGCUGGCGGCGUGCUUAACACAUGCAAGUCGAACGGAAAGGCCCUGCUUUUGUGGGGUGCUCGAGUGGCGAACGGGUGAGUAACACGUGAGUAACCUGCCCUUGACUUUGGGAUAACUUCAGGAAACUGGGGCUAAUACCGGAUAGGAGCUCCUGCUGCAUGGUGGGGGUUGGAAAGUUUCGGCGGUUGGGGAUGGACUCGCGGCUUAUCAGUUUGUUGGUGGGGUAGUGGCUUACCAAGGCUUUGACGGUUAGCCGGCCUGAGGGGGUGACCGGCCACAUUGGGACUGAGAUACGGCCCAGACUCCUACGGGAGGCAGCAGUGGGGAAUAUUGCACAAUGGGCGGAAGCCGGAUGCAGCAACGCCGCGUGCGGGAUGACGGCCUUCGGGUUGUAAACCGCUUUCGCCUGGGACGAAGCGUGAGUGACGGUAAUUGGUAAAGAAGCACCGGCUAACUACGUG